Molecule: ribosomal RNA, 406 nt
Filed under: uncultured bacterium
Lineage: Bacteria
Description: partial 16S ribosomal RNA
Rfam family: Bacterial small subunit ribosomal RNA
Source: RNAcentral
AUUGAACGCUGGCGGCAGGCCUAACACAUGCAAGUCGAACGAGUGGCGGACGGGUGAGUAAUGUCUGGGAAACUGCCCGAGGGAGGGGGAUAACUACUGGAAACGGUAGCCAAUACCGCAUACCAUCGGAUGUGCCCAGAGGGGAUUAGCUUGUAGGUGAGGUAACGGCUCACCUAGGCGACGAUCCCUAGCUGGUCUGCGAGGUUGACCAGCCACACUGGAACUGAGACACGGUCCAGACUCCUACGGGAGGCAGCAGUGGGGAAUAUUGCACAAUGGGGGCAAGCCUGAUGCAGCCAUGGCGGGUGUAUUAAGAAGGCCUUCGGGUUGUAAAGUACUUGCAGCGGGGAGGCGUUACCCGCAGAGGAAGCACCGGCUAACUCCGUGCCAGCAGCCGCGGUAAUUC